This 85-nucleotide transfer RNA is filed under the name Rhodopseudomonas palustris. Its description in RNAcentral is "tRNA-Leu". It matches the Rfam family "tRNA". Rfam says of the family: Transfer RNA (tRNA) molecules are approximately 80 nucleotides in length. Their secondary structure includes four short double-helical elements and three loops (D, anti-codon, and T loops). RNAcentral also lists the same sequence under 1 other name. The record is from RNAcentral. Lineage: Bacteria; Pseudomonadati; Pseudomonadota; Alphaproteobacteria; Hyphomicrobiales; Nitrobacteraceae.
GCGGGCGUGGCGGAAUUGGUAGACGCAGCGGCUUUAGGUGCCGCCGACGAAAGUUGUGGGGGUUCGAGUCCCUCCGCCCGCACCA